RNAcentral lists this ribosomal RNA (432 nucleotides) under uncultured bacterium. RNAcentral's name for it is "partial 16S ribosomal RNA". It matches the Rfam family "Bacterial small subunit ribosomal RNA", at positions 29 to 507 of the family's 1533-position model. The record is from RNAcentral.
ACGAACGCUGGCGGCAUGCCUAACACAUGCAAGUCGAACGAGACCUUCGGGUCUAGUGGCGCACGGGUGCGUAACGCGUGGGAACCUGCCCUUAGGUUCAGAAUAACUCCCCGAAAGGGGUGCUAAUACCGGAUAAUGUCUUCGGACCAAAGAUUUAUCGCCUUUGGAUGGGCCCGCGUUGGAUUAGCUAGUUGGUAGGGUAAAAGCCUACCAAGGCGACGAUCCAUAGCUGGUCUGAGAGGAUGAUCAGCCACACUGGGACUGAAACACGGCCCAGACUCCUACGGGAGGCAGCAGUGGGGAAUAUUGGACAAUGGGCGAAAGCCUGAUCCAGCAAUGCCGCGUGAGUGAUGAAGGCCUUAGGGUUGUAAAGCUCUUUUACCCGGGAUGAUAAUGACAGUACCGGGAGAAUAAGCUCCGGCUAACUCCGUG